This 449-nucleotide ribosomal RNA is filed under the name uncultured bacterium. RNAcentral's name for it is "partial 16S ribosomal RNA". It matches the Rfam family "Bacterial small subunit ribosomal RNA", at positions 29 to 523 of the family's 1533-position model. The record is from RNAcentral.
AGCGAACGCUGGCGGCAGGCCUAACACAUGCAAGUCGAGCGCCGUAGCAAUACGGAGCGGCAGACGGGAGAGUAACACGUGGGAACGUACCCUUUGGUUCGGAACAACCCAGGGAAACUUGGGCUAAUACCGGAUAAGCCCUCACGGGGAAAGAUUCAUCGCCGAAGGAUCGGCCCGCGUCUGAUUAGCUAGUUGGUGGGGUAAUGGCCCACCAAGGCGACGAUCAGUAGCUGGUCUGAGAGGGUGAUCAGCCUCACUGGGACUGAGACACGGCCCAGACUCCUACGGGAGGCAGCAGUGGGGAAUAUUGGACAAUGGGCGCAAGCCUGAUCCAGCCAUGCCGCGUGGGUGAUGAAGGCCCUAGGGUUGUAAAGCCCUUUCGGCGGGGAAGAUAAUGACGGUACCCGCAGAAGAAGCCCCGGCUAACUUCGUGCCAGCCGCCGCGGUAG